UGCCCAUCAUCCUAGCCUGUUAUCUGUGAUAAAGCACACUGAAGUUAGGUUUGGAAUGCAUCCUUAUCAUGAAUGCUCUACACCUCCACCUCCAUCUCCCACAACCUAGGUAACAGCUUUGAGACUCACUAAAAGUUGAACCCCCUGAAUGAUGUAGGCUAUGGGGCCACAUAAGACUUUGUCCAUCCAGGGUUACAUUGAACGACAACUUUAAACUAAAAAACCCCCUGAAUGAUGUAGGCUAUGGGGCCACAUAAGACUUUGUCCAUCCAGGGUUACAUUGAACGACAACUUUAAACUAAAGGUAAGGAAUUAAUUAACAUACAUUAACUAAGUUUUAUACAUGUUAUAUAUGUGAUAUUAAACCACUGUAUGGUGCAUAUUACUGUAUGUAACUUACUAUGCAUAGAGUACUUACUGACAUACUAAUUAUUUUUUGUACAUUCCAGAACCCCCUGAAUGAUGUAGGCUAUGGGGCCACAUA
Molecule: long non-coding RNA, 484 nt
Organism: Macrobrachium nipponense
Lineage: Eukaryota; Metazoa; Arthropoda; Malacostraca; Decapoda; Palaemonidae
Exons: 3
Source: RefSeq, a predicted model, not a curated record